Molecule: ribosomal RNA, 198 nt
Filed under: uncultured bacterium
Lineage: Bacteria
Description: partial 16S ribosomal RNA
Rfam family: Bacterial small subunit ribosomal RNA
Source: RNAcentral
ACGCUCGACACCUACGUGAGGCAGCAGUGGGGAAUAUUGCACAAUGGGGGAAACCCUGAUGCAGCGACGCCGCGUGAGUGAAGAAGUAAUUCGUUAUGUAAAGCUCUAUCAGCAGGGAAGAAAGUGACGGUACCUGAGUAAGAAGCCCCGGCUAACUACGUGCAAGCAGCCGCGGUAAUCUGAGCGGGCUGGCAAGGC